GACGAACGCUGGCGGCGUGCUUAACACAUGCAAGUCGAACGAUGAUGCUGGAGCUUGCUCCAGUUGAUUAGUGGCGAACGGGUGAGUAACACGUGAGCAAUCUGCCCUUGACUCUGGGAUAACUGCGGGAAACUGUAGCUAAUACCGGAUACUUUCACCGGAAGGCAUCUUUUGGUGAUGAAAGAAUUUCGGUCAGGGAUGAGCUCGCGGCCUAUCAGCUUGUUGGUGAGGUAGCGGCUCACCAAGGCGACGACGGGUGGCCGGCCUGAGAGGGUGACCGGCCACACUGGGACUGAGACACGGCCCAGACUCCUACGGGAGGCAGCAGUGGGGAAUAUUGCACAAUGGGCGCAAGCCUGAUGCAGCAACGCCGCGUGAGGGAUGACGGCCUUCGGGUUGUAAACCUCUUUUAGUAGGGAAGAAGCGAAAGUGACGGUACCUGCAGAAAAAGCACCGGCUAACUACGUGCCAGCAGCCGCCGUAA
Molecule: ribosomal RNA, 484 nt
Filed under: uncultured bacterium
Lineage: Bacteria
Description: partial 16S ribosomal RNA
Rfam family: Bacterial small subunit ribosomal RNA
Source: RNAcentral